RNAcentral lists this transfer RNA (83 nucleotides) under Spirochaetales bacterium. RNAcentral describes it as "tRNA-Leu". It matches the Rfam family "tRNA". Rfam says of the family: Transfer RNA (tRNA) molecules are approximately 80 nucleotides in length. Their secondary structure includes four short double-helical elements and three loops (D, anti-codon, and T loops). Lineage: Bacteria; Pseudomonadati; Spirochaetota; Spirochaetia; Spirochaetales. The record is from RNAcentral. RNAcentral also lists the same sequence under 1 other name.
GCCGGAGUGGCGGAAUGGUAGACGCGCUAGACUCAAAAUCUGGUAUCAGCAAUGGUGUUCGGGUUCAAGUCCCGUCUCCGGUA